AGGGGGAACGUUCCUCCAAGGACUAU
This 26-nucleotide transfer RNA is filed under the name Equus caballus (horse). Its description in RNAcentral is "partial transfer RNA-Thr". The record is from RNAcentral. Lineage: Eukaryota; Metazoa; Chordata; Mammalia; Perissodactyla; Equidae.